UUUCAGUCCAGGGACGAUUUGGAAUAAAUUAAAGCCAUCAAAAGGAUAUCACAGCUCACUUUGGUGGAAGGAUUUCCACGUCGCUUCGCGUUCGUCUCCGGGAGAGAGCCGAUUGCACCCGGCGGGCACAGAGCAGGGGAGGGAGCAGGCCGGGGGUGAGGGGGCCGGCCGGAGGGGCGGGCCGAGGCGGGGCGGGGCUCGCGGGAAGGGGCGGGGCCUGCGGCGGCUGCAGGUCCGCGGCCGGACGGUAGAGGCCUCCCUUCCGAGGCGGCGGCGCGGGCGCUGCCCGUUGGGGUCCGCUCCCCGGCGCGAACCCGCGCGUCCUUGCCGACGAGAUCCCCGCGCCACCCGGCGCAGUGUCCUUUCAAGCACGGAUGGCGGUGCCCAGUGGUCAAUACCCUCACUUUUAUCCAGUGUCCGCUUCAUUUAAACUUAAUCAACUCCAUCAAUGAGCUGGAACAGGGAAACGUCCCUGCGGUCCUAUUUCCUUUCCCUUUUCACCUGCUGUUUGACCGCCCUCACUGCAGCACCUUGGGCUUCUAAUGUGAGGAAAAACACGGAAUGACAAGUGUGGGAAAGAGCAAGCACUAAAUUACUGUCAGAAAAAUAAACGGAGCAGCACAGUGGUGCUCGGUGAUUUACGGGGGCAAUUAGUCACCACCCCACGGCGCUGCUGAGGACAGCACGGCAGCAGGCGCGUCAGGCCGGAGGAAGAAGAGGCUUUGCACUGCUCUCCAGACAACUUUUCAAACAACAAGAGAGGGUGUUUGAGCACAUUAGGUUCUAUGUCUUCAUUCUGGGUGCCCACCCUUCAUGUUAUUCAAACAACUUAAUCUGUAAAUGUAUUUUUAGCACAAUAUUAACCUGUUCUGUGUGCGUUAAAAAGACUCCAACUGCAGCUUUUUCUUUCCCACUGUCCAAAGUAGGUUUUUCCCCCAUCCCUUAAAAAAUAAACAAAAAAACCUUUCCCCAUUCCCAGAUUGUCCCCCUGAUGUGUGCCUUUGGUCUGUCUCAUCACUUUUUGCAUCUUGCUGCCACGUUCUGUCUUUGCUCAGAGCCACUGAGCUGAGGAAUUUAGUCUGCAGCUCCUGGGGGAUGCUUGGUGAGCUGGUACAAGGGGGGUGAUCCACGAGGCUGUGAAACACAGGGUGAAUGAAGAAGAUGCAUGAACUUUCUGAUAUUUGCCAAUGUGUUCUUUAACAUACUAUAUGUAGUGCCUCUGUAUAUGUACAUAGCAAAAUAAACCUGCUAAAAUAUAAUGAAUCGGUGUGCAUUCUUUAAUCGGAAUUCUUCUCUAUCAGGAGAAAUCUAGAAUGGAAGAUGGAGAGAGAACCCAGGAAAGACAAAGACUUUACUGACUAAAUGCCACGUCUGUGUACGGACAGUAGCAGGGCUGCUGAGGUGAACAAAUCAAGCUUCGUCAGGAGUUUAGCAUCCUUAUGUACUGUUACCUAAGAAUGCUGCCAUCUUAUAUUUCUGAAGCACUUUACAGUUUACAAAGGACAUUUGGAAUUCCUUUGCUCAUUUGAUCUUGCUUUGGCUUUAGUCAAGAACACCUGCUCAGUUUUGAAAUGUGUUCGGUGUAAAAAUAAUGAAGCCUGAGAGAGCAUGUGACUUCAUGAAGACAGUAUGAGGGUCAGCUGUCUCCAAUCCUGAGGUCGUCACUUGUCAAGAGGGGAUAAUCCCAAGGACAGCAGGAUCUGCUUCGUCACUUGGAUUUAGCAGUGAGAAACCCAUCAGGCCACUAAACAGUAACAAUGACCCACCAUUAAACACCCUGAGAGAAGAGCAUGAUGAGAAGAUUGUACAAGAAGAAUCCAGGAGCUUUUGCUGACAACGCCUAUGGAGACCCUGGCCACUGUGAGCUCCGCCCAUUGAACUGUAAUAAAAAAUCUCCGCCUCCCCAGAGAUGCUUGGAUGUGGGCACAAUAUUAAUUCAGACAAUGGUUUCUGCAUGGAUGUAGAGUGAAAAGAAUUUGGACUGUGGGGGUCAGACAGACCUGGCUUUGAAUUGUUAUUCUGUCACAUUUUUUGUUUUUGGGGAGGAAGAUUGUCACUGAGCUAACAUCUCUGCCAAUCUUCUUCUAUUUUUUCCGUAUGUGGGAUGCUGCCACAGCAUGGUUUGACAAGCAGUGUAUAGGUCCACACCCAGGAUCCAAACCUGCAAAACCUGGGCCGCAGAAGCUGAGCACGCGAACCCAACCACUACACCACCGGACCAGCCCCUCUGCCACUUCUUUGUAGUAUGCUUUGGUAACAUUUAAAAAUCCCUCUGAGCCUCAGUUAUCUUGUCUGCAAAAUGGAGCUAAUGCCUACACAGGGGCUUUUAAGAGGAUCAAGUGCACCAGUGUUUGAAAUGCACACACUGGGUACUUCUCUUUACGGAAAAAGAGCAAGAUGUGGGGCCAAAAAGGAACUAGUACAACAAAAGCUAUUCUCAAAAUUAUCCUUUGUCCUAGGCUCUUAACCUCAGAACGUGUGCUUAUUUCUGUAGCUCAGAUACCAAGGGAAAAGAGAGAGAGAGAGAGAGAGAGAAAGGCAGGAAGUCAAAUUCUGGCUCUCACACAAGAAAAUUCACUCUUGAUAAUUUUCAGACAGUGUUGCUCUCCUUCCUCAAACUCUGGCACCACAGGCAUUAUGCCAAAGAAGUCAGCAGCCUGGCAGAUAUUUCAAAUUGAUUCUGAGAGCAAACGACAGGCCAUUUGUGCCAUAUGCCACUGACACGUUAAUCUAGGCAAGGAUGCUAGGCACCUGGGGACAUCCAUGCUGAAAUGCCAUUUAGGCAGGGCACACCAACUCCAGUGGCAGGAGUUCAUCAGUGCAAACAGUGAGGGCGGCCAAGAAGAUGGAAGUGGAAAGGAGGAGUGAGAGGGAGGCACAGUGUCUAAGCCUGGAGAGAUUUUCUGAGUUGCAGACAGUUCAUUAUGCUUCUAGGAGAGCUGCAGAUUCAACAGAACAUCCAAACUGGGUAUUUACAGACUGGACAAAUGAGUGUCUGCUACUUUUGCACCUAUUAUACUACGUGGCCACCAACCCCGUGAACCUUCUCUCCAUUGGCAAAUACUGAGCGAUGCUCCAGUCCACUGGAAUGACCUUCUUUAUCCUGCAGUUUCACCGUAAAAAGCAAGCAGCUGCUGAGCGAUUCUAGGAGAUGCCCCAGUGUCAGACUUUCCAGGAUCCAAUUUGGUGGAAGCACUCUGGGCCUUUGGUCUCCAUCUCCCCUUUGCCCAGCCUUGUUCCUUGGUUACUGUGAGCAGUAACGAGCUUCCCCACCCCAGCGUGAGGACAGGCUCACAGCCAGCACAUGAAAAAGGCUGAGCUCGUGUGGGGCAACUACUUUAUUUCAUGGGCAGAUCACACAUCUCUUCUUUUCCUUCUUCUGUGAUGCAACUACACUAAUGAUUUUUUGUUUUUAAGUAGGAAUGAGGCAGUACUAUGGCUUUCUGGGGAAAAAAAGUCCACAGCAGGAUAACUGCAGCAGAUAUCAGAAAAGAAGCUCAGAACGAGAUGCCCGUCCGCUCUCGUCGUUGGCCCGAAUGAUUUUCCAGGAGCAAAAGGAUCAUUCUAAUUUAGGGGAUCUUAAUAAACAAAUAGAAUCACUGCCUUAAUUAUUUUCUUCUAGGCAAAAGAAACUUUAAAAAAUCAGCUCUUCCUGUUAACGUCAGUUAUUUUCCAUAAUCCGAAGAAUCUGAAAGAUCAUAAAAAUAAGACUAGGCCACCAGAGAAUGUAGGCAUCCCCCAGCGUUCUCCAUGGCGAGUAAUUCAGAGUUGUCCUUGUUGAGCGUGGGCCCUGGAAUCAGCCCUUGAUUGAAAUCCAGAGCUCUGUCCCUUCCUCACUGAGGACCAUUGGCGAGAUCCCGCCCCUCGAGCCUGUCUCCUCGUCUGUAAGCCUGCACAGAGUAACUCCAUCUUCCAGGGUUAUUAUGAGGAUUAAAAGAGAAGAUGUGUAGGUAGCAAGGAGCACACUUUCUGGCACGUGGUCAGGGUAUCUACAUUAAAGUGACAGGCCUGAUCUUGGGAACCACAUGUCACUUAAUUUUCAAUGGAGAGACGUUAUUUCUAUGAAUUCUUAGCAGAGACUAAAUAGAUGUUUUAACCCGCAAAUCACAGACGUUUUCUGAGCCUUCACCACUAGACCCAUUGGACUGUGUUAUGCAUUAUAAAAGAUUUGUAAGCAGUAGAAGAGUUGGGUUUUUGCUCAGGAGUAGCUUAAAGUCAGCCCUGAAGAACCGUAACCCCACUCUUAAUCCAAGACCUACACCACCAGCCUUUGCUGUACGCACCCAGGAAACCCAUCUUAAAUGAGAUGUAAACACUCAAGUGCAGGAUUCUCUUAACGGGUGUCCCUGCACUCGCCCCUGACCCCUACAGCCGACUCCUGGAGCACCGGGAGCUCUACAUAAGGAUUGAAACAAUGAGGAUUGAGAAAAGUUAUCCAGAGCCUGUUUCUUGCCUUCAAAGAGCUUACAAAAGAAUUGGGAAAAUGAUGAGGGGACAUGAAACUAUUAAGGAAAAUGAAGAGAGAACAUGA
This is a long non-coding RNA of Equus caballus (horse), 4531 nucleotides long. The record is from Ensembl. Lineage: Eukaryota; Metazoa; Chordata; Mammalia; Perissodactyla; Equidae.